Molecule: ribosomal RNA, 540 nt
Filed under: Basidiomycota sp. Z-10
Lineage: Eukaryota; Fungi; Basidiomycota
Description: eukaryotic LSU rRNA
Rfam family: 5.8S ribosomal RNA (bases 147-300)
Source: RNAcentral
UUCCGUAGGUGAACCUGCGGAAGGAUCAUUAUAUGAUUGGCCUAACGGCCUUAUCAACAUAAUCCCUCACCUCUGUGAACCGUUGACCUCCGGGUCUACAUAACAAACAUCAGUGUAAAGAACGUCUUUAUAUUUUAACAAAAUAAAACUUUCAACAACGGAUCUCUUGGCUCUCGCAUCGAUGAAGAACGCAGCGAAAUGCGAUAAGUAAUGUGAAUUGCAGAAUUCAGUGAAUCAUCGAAUCUUUGAACGCACCUUGCGCCUUUUGGUAUUCCGAAAGGCAUGCCUGUUUGAGUGUCAUGAAAUCUCAAUCCCCCCGGGUUUUCUGAACCCGAGGUGGACUUGGACAUGGGUGUCUGCCGUCUCGUACGGCUCGCCUUAAAUGACUCAGUGGGAUCUUCAGCAUCCGUGGCAGACGUAAUAAGUUUCGUCUCGUCCCUUGCUGUGAGGACCGCUCAUAACCUGCCAUCGCGCACCACUUUUGACUCUGACCUCAAAUCAGGUAGGACUACCCCGCUGAACUUAAGCAUAUCAAUAGCC